GACGAACGCUGGCGGCGUUCCUAAUACAUGCAAGUCGAACGCAUUUUCUUUCACCGUAGCUUGCUACACCGAAAGAAAAUGAGUGGCGAACGGGUGAGUAACACGUGGGUAACCUGCCCAUCAGCGGGGGAUAACACUUGGAAACAGGUGCUAAUACCGCAUAAUUCCAUUUACCGCAUGGUAAAUGGAUGAAAGGCGCUUUUGCGUCACUGAUGGAUGGACCCGCGGUGCAUUAGCUAGUUGGUGGGGUAACGGCCUACCAAGGCUGCGAUGCAUAGCCGACCUGAGAGGGUGAUCGGCCACACUGGGACUGAGACACGGCCCAGACUCCUACGGGAGGCAGCAGUAGGGAAUCUUCGGCAAUGGACGCAAGUCUGACCGAGCAACGCCGCGUGAAUGAAGAAGGUUUUCGGAUCGUAAAACUCUGUUGUUAGAGAAGAACAAGGAUGAGAGUGGAAAGUUCAUCCCUUGACGGUAUCUAACCAGAAAGCCACGGCUAACUACG
RNAcentral lists this ribosomal RNA (505 nucleotides) under uncultured bacterium. RNAcentral's name for it is "bacterial SSU rRNA". It matches the Rfam family "Bacterial small subunit ribosomal RNA", at positions 28 to 505 of the family's 1533-position model. The record is from RNAcentral.